Molecule: non-coding RNA, 71 nt
Organism: Podarcis lilfordi (Lilford's wall lizard)
Lineage: Eukaryota; Metazoa; Chordata; Lepidosauria; Squamata; Lacertidae
Source: the annotation of a GenBank genome assembly
GGGCCAUAGCUCAGUGGCAGCGCAUCAGCUUUGCAUUCUGAAGGGUCCAGGUUCAAUCCCCAGCAUCUCUA